RNAcentral lists this unclassified non-coding RNA (240 nucleotides) under soil metagenome. RNAcentral's name for it is "partial contains 5.8S ribosomal RNA, internal transcribed spacer 2, and large subunit ribosomal RNA". The record is from RNAcentral.
AACGCACGAGACCUGCGGACCUGCGGAAGGAUCAUUAGAGAAGAAUUGAUGUGGAAAGGCGCAAGCCUUCUCCAUAUCAACCCCCCUCUAUCUACCCCUGUGAACUGUUGAUCGGCUGGGAAUGUCAUGUUCUCGGGUCGAGGGUGCUUGCGCCCGAAUCACCUUUUCAAACGCAUUGUGUUGAAUGACACGCCACACGGCGUAUUCUACAAACACUAUACAACUUUCAACAACGGAUCU